UAUACGGAUAAGGGACGUCCACUUAACUUGGAGUCCGAACUCUCACUUUCUAACCCUGUGCACUUGUUUGGGAUAGUAACUCUCGCAAGAGAGCGAACUCCUAUUCACUUAUAAACACAAAGUCUAUGAAUGUAUUAAAUUUUAUAACAAAAUAAAACUUUCAACAACGGAUCUCUUGGCUCUCGCAUCGAUGAAGAACGCAGCGAAAUGCGAUAAGUAAUGUGAAUUGCAGAAUUCAGUGAAUCAUCGAAUCUUUGAACGCACCUUGCGCUCCAUGGUAUUCCGUGGAGCAUGCCUGUUUGAGUGUCAUGAAUACUUCAACCCUCCUCUUUCUUAAUGAUUGAAGAGGUGUUUGGUUUCUGAGCGCUGCUGGCCUUUACGGUCUAGCUCGUUCGUAAUGCAUUAGCAUCCGCAAUCGAACUUCGGAUUGACUUGGCGUAAUAGACUAUUCGCUGAGGAAUUCUAGUCUUCGGAUUAGAGCCGGGUUGGGUUAAAGGAAGCUUCUAAUCAGAAUGUCUACAUUUUAAGAUUAGAUCUCAAAUCAGGUAGGACUACCCGCUGAACUUAAGCAUAUCAAAGCCCGGAAAGGAAA
Molecule: ribosomal RNA, 592 nt
Filed under: Rhodotorula mucilaginosa
Lineage: Eukaryota; Fungi; Basidiomycota; Microbotryomycetes; Sporidiobolales; Sporidiobolaceae
Description: eukaryotic LSU rRNA
Rfam family: 5.8S ribosomal RNA (bases 156-309)
Source: RNAcentral